RNAcentral lists this ribosomal RNA (645 nucleotides) under uncultured Acidobacteriota bacterium. Its description in RNAcentral is "bacterial SSU rRNA". It matches the Rfam family "Bacterial small subunit ribosomal RNA", at positions 8 to 651 of the family's 1533-position model. Lineage: Bacteria; Pseudomonadati; Acidobacteriota. The record is from RNAcentral.
AGAGUUUGAUCCUGGCUCAGAACGAACGCUGGCGGCGUGCUUAACACAUGCAAGUCGAGUGCGCGUCCCGGUAGCAAUACCGGGAUGGCGCACGGCGCACGGGUGCGUAACACGUGGGCAAUCUGCCCUCCGAUGGGGAAUAACCCCGCGAAAGCGGGGCUAAUACCGCAUAACAUUCCGGGGACUUCGGUUCCUGGAUUCAAAGGCGUAAGUCGUCGGAGGUGGAGCCCGCGCCCGAUUAGCUAGUUGGUGAGGUAACGGCUCACCAAGGCAAUGAUCGGUAGCUGGUCUGAGAGGAUGGCCAGCCACACUGGAACUGAGACACGGUCCAGACUCCUACGGGAGGCAGCAGUGGGGAAUCUUGCGCAAUGGGCGAAAGCCUGACGCAGCGACGCCGCGUGGGGGAUGAAGCAUCUCGGUGUGUAAACCCCUUUCGACUGGGACGAAUGCCUCGCAAGAGGAGUGACGGUACCAGUAGAAGAAGCCCCGGCUAACUACGUGCCAGCAGCCGCGGUAAGACGUAGGGGGCCAGCGUUGUUCGGAAUUACUGGGUGUAAAGGGUUCGUAGGCGGUGUAGCAAGUCGGGAGUGAAAUCUCUGGGCUUAACCCAGAGGCUGCUUCCGAAACUGCUGUGCUGGAGUGUGG